UGGCCACCAUUGAUGACCUGUUAUGGCAAGGUGACUGUGGCCACCAUUGAUGACCUGUUAUGGCAAGGUGACUGUGGCCACCAUUGAUGACCUGUUAUGGCAAGGUGACUGUGGCCACCAUUGAUGACCUGUUAUGGCAAGGUGACUGUGGCCACCAUUGAUGACCUGUUAUGGCAAGGUGACUGUGGCCACCAUUGAUGACCUGUUAUGGCAAGGUGACUGUGGCCACCAUUGAUGACCUGUUAUGGCAAGGUGACUGUGGCCACCAUUGAUGACCUGUUAUGGCAAGGUGACUGUGGCCACCAUUGAUGACCUGUUAUGGCAAGGUGACUGUGGCCACCAUUGAUGACCUGUUAUGGCAAGGUGACUGUGGCCACCAUUGAUGACCUGUUAUGGCAAGGUGACUGUGGCCACCAUUGAUGACCUGUUAUGGCAAGGUGACUGUGGCCACCAUUGAUGACCUGUUAUGGCAAGGUGACUGUGGCCACCAUUGAUGACCUGUUAUGGCAAGGUGACUGUGGCCACCAUUGAUGACCUGUUAUGGCAAGGUGACUGUGGCCACCAUUGAUGACCUGUUAUGGCAAGGAGCCUCAUUGUAUUCUCUCUGGACGUUAUUAAUUUUCUUACUCAUUAAAGGACUUGUUUAACUGAGAUUCGUAUAAUAUUUCCAUAAUAUAUAUAUGAGAUUUAUGAGAGGUAUCCUCAGUACAUUGUGCAGGUAAACUGCCUCACUAUCUUGGUGCAGGUAAACUGCCUCACUAUCUUGGUGCAGGUAAACUGCCUCACUAUCUUGGUGCAGGUAAACUGCCUCACUAUCUUGGUGCAGGUAAACUGCCUCACUAUCUUGGUGCAGGUAAACUGCCUCACUAUCUUGGUGCAGGUAAACUGCCUCACUAUCUUGGUGCAGGUAAACUGCCUCACUAUCUUGGUGCAGGUAAACUGUCUCACUAUCUUGGUGCAGGUAAACUGCCUCACUAUCUUGGUGCAGGUAAACUGCCUCACGAUCUUGGUGCAGGUAAACUGCCUCACUAUCUUGGUGCAGGUAAACUGUCUCACUAUCUUGGUGCAGGUAAACUGCCUCACUAUCUUGGUGCAGGUAAACUGCCUCACUAUCUUGGUGCAGGUAAACUGCCUCACGAUCUUGGUGCAGGUAAACUGCCUCACUAUCUUGGUGCAGGUAAACUGCCUCACGAUCUUGGUGCAGGUAAACUGCCUCACUAUCUUGGUGCAGGUAAACUGUCUCACUAUCUUGGUGCAGGUAAACUGCCUCACUAUCUUGGUGCAGGUAAACUGCAUCACUAUCUUGGCGCAGGUAAACUGCCUCACGAUCUUAGUGCAGGUAAACCUCCUCACGAUCUUGGUGCAGGUAAACUGCCUCACUAUCUUGGUGCAGGUAAACUGCCUUACUAUCUUGGUGCAGGUAAACUGUCUCACUAUCUUGGUGCAGGUAAACUGCCUCACUAUCUUGGUGCAGGUAAACUGCCUCACUAUCUUGGUGCAGGUAAACUGCCUCACGAUCUUGGUGCAGGUAAACUGCCUCACUAUCUUGGUGCAGGUAAACUGCCUCACUAUCUUGGUGCAGGUAAACUGCCUCACGAUCUUGGUGCAGGUAAACUGCCUCACGAUCUUGGUGCAGGUAAACUGCCUCACUAUCUUGGUGCAGGUAAACUGCCUCACUAUCUUGGUGCAGGUAAACUGCCUCACUAUCUUGGUGCAGGUAAACUGCCUCACGAUCUUGGUGCAGGUAAACUGCCUCACGAUCUUGGUGCAGGUAAACUGCCUCACUAUCUUGGUGCAGGUAAACUGUCUCACUAUCUUGGUGCAGGUAAACUGCCUCACUAUCUUGGUGCAGGUAAACUGCCUCACGAUCUUGGUGCAGGUAAACUGCCUCACGAUCUUGGUGCAGGUAAACUGCCUCACUAUCUUGGUGCAGGUAAACUGCCUCACUAUCUUGGUGUAGGUAAACUGCCUCACGAUAUUGGUGCAGGUAAACUGCCUCACUAUCUUGGUGCAGGUAAACUGUCUCAUGAUCCUGGUGCAGGUAAACUGUCUCAUGAUCCUGGUGCAGGUAAACUGCCUCACUCUCUUGGUGCAGGUAAACUGCCUCACGAUCCUGGUGCAGGUAAACUGCCUCAUACCGCCAUGGAGGAAGAGGGUGAGGGUUGGAGGUGUUGGAGUGCCUCAGUAACCACGGAGGAACAUACGAAAUGAAGACAUUCCGAAUUUUCGCCUCACCUUGCCCAGGCUAACAUGCUUCAUAAGGUGAGCGCCCACUUUUGGCAACCCACCUUUAGCUAGCUGUCCCCGCGUCCCAUCCUGUGUUGACACAAGCACUCCCAGCGUCCCAUCCUGUGUUGACACAAGCACUCCCAGCGUCCCAUCCUGUGUUGACACAAGCACUCCCAGCGUCCCAUCCUGUGUUGACACAAGCACUCCCAGCGUCCCAUCCUGUGUUGACACACGCACUACCAGCGUCCCAUCCUGUGUUGACACACGCACUACCAGCGUCCCAUCCUGUGUUGACACACGCACUACCAGCGUCCCAUCCUGUGUUGACACACGCACUACCAGCGUCCCAUCCUGUGUUGACACAAGCACUACCAGCGUCCCAUCCUGUGUUGACACAAGCUCUCCCAGCGUCCCAUCCUGUGUUGACACAAGCACUACCAGCGUCCCAUCCUGUGUUGACACAAGCACUACCAGCGUCCCAUCCUGUGUUGACACAAGCACUCCCAGCGUCCCAUCCUGUGUUGACACAAGCACUACCAGCGUCCCAUCCUGUGUUGACACCCGCACUACCAGCGUCCCAUCCUGUGUUGACACAAGCACUACCAGCGUCCCAUCCUGUGUUGACACCCGCACUACCAGCGUCCCAUCCUGUGUUGACACAAGCACUACCAGCGUCCCAUCCUGUGUUGACACCCGCACUACCAGCGUCCCAUCCUGUGUUGACACACGCACUACCAGCGUCCCAUCCUGUGUUGACACACGCACUACCAGCGUCCCAUCCUGUGUUGACACAAGCACUAUACCAGCGUCCCAUCCUGUGUUGACACAAGCACUACCAGCGUCCCAUCCUGUGUUGACACAAGCACUACCAGCGUCCCAUCCUGUGUUGACAACGCACUACCAGCGUCCCAUCCUGUGUUGACACAAGCACUACCAGCGUCCCAUCCUGUGUUGACACAAGCACUAUACCAGCGUCCCAUCCUGUGUUGACACAAGCACUAUACCAGAGUCCCAUCCUGUGUUGACACAAGCACUAUACCAGCGUCACAUCCUGUGUUGACACAAGCACUACCUGCGUCCCAUCCUGUGUUGACACAAGCACUACCUGCGUCCCAUCCUGUGUCGACACAAGCACUAUACCAGAGUCCCAUCCUGUGUUGACACAAGCACUCCCAGCGUCCCAUCCUGUGUUGACACAAGCACUACCAGCGUCCCAUCCUGUGUCGACACAAGCACUAUACCAGAGUCCCAUCCUGUGUUGACACAAGCACUCCCAGCGUCCCAUCCUGUGUUGACACAAGCACUACCAGCGUCCCAUCCUGUGUUGACACAAGCACUACCAGAGUCCCAUCCUGUGUUGACACAAGCACUACCUGCGUCCCAUCCUGUGUAGCACUAUACCAGAGUCCCAUCCUGUGUUGACACAAGCACUUCCAGCGUCCCAUCCUAUGUUGACACAAGCACUAUACCAGCGUCCCAUCCUGUGUUGACACAAGCACUACCAGCGUCCCAUCCUGUGUUGACACAAGCACUAUACCAGCGUCCCAUCCUGUGUUGACACAAGCACUACCAGCGUCCCAUCCUGUGUUGACACAAGCACUAUACAGCGUCCCAUCCUGUGUUGACACAAGCACUACCAGCGUCCCAUCCUGUGUUGACACAAGCACUACCAGCGUCCCAUCCUGUGUUGACACAAGCACUACCAGCGUUCCAUCCUGUGUUGACACAAGCACUCCCCGCGUCCCAUCCUGUGUUGACACACGCACUACCAGCGUCCCAUCCUGUGUUGACACAAGCACUACCAGCGUCCCAUCCUGUGUUGACACAAGCACUACCAGCGUCCCAUCCUGUGUUGACACAAGCACUACCAGCGUCCCAUCCUGUGUUGACACAAGCACUACCAGCGUCCCAUCCUGUGUUGACACAAGCACUACCAGCGUCCCAUCCUGUGUUGACACAAGCACUACCAGCGUCCCAUCCUGUGUUGACACAAGCUCUAUAAUUUUUACAGUACCUGUUUUUUAUUUUAUAUAUCCCCAUAAACAACACUUUUCCUGUAAAAGAACAUCAACAACAUGUUGGAAUACUUCGUGUAUAAAGACCAAUAAAGAUAAUACAGUACUGUUAUAAAA
Non-coding RNA from Procambarus clarkii (red swamp crayfish), 4361 nucleotides. Lineage: Eukaryota; Metazoa; Arthropoda; Malacostraca; Decapoda; Cambaridae. The record is from RefSeq and is a predicted model, not a curated record.